AUACGUAGGGAGCAAGCGUUGUCCGGAAUUAUUGGGCGUAAAGGGUGCGUAGGCGGUAUUGUAAGUCAGAUGUGAAAUCCCCAGGCUUAACUUGGGAGUUGCAUUUGAAACUGCAGUACUUGAGUAAAGAAGAGGUAAGUGGAAUUCCUAGUGUAGCGGUGGAAUGCGUAGAUAUUAGGAGGAACACCAGUGGCGAAGGCGACUUACUGGUCUUUUACUGACGCUGAGGCACGAAAGCGUGGGGAGCAAACAGGAUUAGAUACCCUGGUAGUCCACGCUGUAAACGAUGGAUACUAGGUGUGGGGGACAUACAACCUCUGUGCCGGAGCAAACGCAUUAAGUAUCCCGCCUGGGGAGUACGGUCGCAAGGCUGAA
This 375-nucleotide ribosomal RNA is filed under the name uncultured bacterium. Its description in RNAcentral is "bacterial SSU rRNA". It matches the Rfam family "Bacterial small subunit ribosomal RNA", at positions 523 to 898 of the family's 1533-position model. The record is from RNAcentral.